AACACCUCAAAUCUCUUUUUUAUUAAAGAGAAUUGGACUUGAGCAAUCCCAACUCUGUAAAAAGAGGCGGGUUGCUUGAAAUGCAGGUGCAGCUGGACAUUCUUCUGAGCUAAAAGCAUAUUUAUUUAGUCCCGUUAAACGGAUUAUUACUUUUGCUCUAGCUAAUAUAAAGGUCGAAUGGACUAUACGCUGACUGAUGCAGGAUUACCAAGUCUCUGUCAAAAGGAGACUUGUAA
Molecule: unclassified non-coding RNA, 236 nt
Filed under: uncultured Mortierella
Lineage: Eukaryota; Fungi; Mortierellomycota; Mortierellomycetes; Mortierellales; Mortierellaceae
Description: partial internal transcribed spacer 2
Source: RNAcentral